This 109-nucleotide ribosomal RNA is filed under the name Acidobacteria bacterium ADurb.Bin051. Lineage: Bacteria; Pseudomonadati; Acidobacteriota. The record is from RNAcentral.
GUGACUGUGGCGAGGGGGAAACACCCGUUCCCAUUCCGAACACGGCAGUUAAGCCCCUCAGCGCCGAUGGUACUGCUUGCGCAAGUGGGUGGGAGAGUAGGUCGUUGCC